GAAAAGAUGUGACUUUCAUCUUGAUAAAAAUGUCUUAUUACCUAGUGGAAUGGUUUAAACGUGAGCUUUCUAGUGGUUUUCAGCGAAAAUUGGUUUUGGAUGUGUUUCCGUAUGACAGAUUUUAUAUGGCGAAAACACUAGUUAUUACGACAAAACCACUUGUUCACGGGAAAACGUGCAUUCUAUGCCGGUCUGAACAUGGUAUUAGUUGCCUAACUGCCUUCAUAAAGGUAAAUGUCACUAAAACAAAAGAGCUGCAAUUUUUUAAGCGUAGAAAAAAUCAGCAAACGUAAACAUUUUUCUGUCCCAACUACAUGUGAUAAAAUUAAUAGUUCUAAGAGAUAUUGUCAUCAAUUAUAUUUGACGAGAUUGUAAAGACGUUCGCAGAGAAUGACUCUGCGUUUCGUCUGCAUCGAGGUACGCCAUAGCCUACGGUGCGCAAAUGUUUUCCUCCAGUUCGAUCACAGCCUCACGGAAACAGAUUUCCUGAAAAUUGUUGUAGACAACGAUGCACUUACUUUCCGUGAAUACUCCACAGCAACACGUGUGUCCCUUAGUAAAUAUUUCACAGCAGAGGCGCGUACUAUAAGCAAUUUAACCGUAGAGGAGUGCAAUGCAAGCUUUCGUUUAACUAUAACUAAUGAUUGUGAACAAGCAACUACUGCUAACGGAGAGAAGCAAACUGAUAAACAGAGAAAAAUCGGUAUAACUCCUAAACCAGAUGUCGAGGAAGGUGGAGAGCUAAAAGUUGUAUGUAAAAAUUGUAAAUGUGAAUUAUGUACGACACUUAAAUGCCAAAGAGUAAGGGAAUUCCCAUCUGGCUCCAUCGAUGUGAGUGAAUUUUUCUGUCAUCAUGGCCCUAAAUUUGAUGAAGUAUUGGUGCCACAAUUAACGGACUUCUUUUAUGGUUUUCAAUUCAUUGUACUUAAUACUGAGUUGAUGCAAGAGAGAGUGAAGCUAAAGAAUGAGCAUGUUUAUUGUCGACGUUGCUUGCAGUACCUGGGUGAAAAUAUACUCAACAAUAAGGCCGUUAAAAUAUGGAUGGACACAUUACUAUUAAAACAUCAAACGGAAAAUGAGGCGGACAUCACAGUAAAUUUGCUUAACAAAUACGACAUUACGCCUACUUGCCAGCUUUUACACAAAAUUAUUGAUGAUACCGAUGUUGGUGGAGAAUCGAUAUUUCGAAAUCUACAUUUCUGCAAAGUAUUGUUAGAAGCCAUAUUUCCAAAUCGAGAACGUAAAUUCCUACUAUUGCAAGUUUUAGAAAAACAACUACAGGUGUUGCGAAACUCCACACCAUUGGCUCAUGGAAGCCACAACAACAAUAAUGUUUUGCAAGUGGAAUUGGAGCAAUUCAAAUGUUUUAAACUGCUUUACAGAAUCCUGGAUGACACAGAGGACGAAGGUGGAGGAGAGAACAGAGUAGAAAAGGGAAAUGAUGAUGGUGAUAAUGCUAGUAAUGGAAGUAGUGCUAGCAUUGACAACGUAUUAUUAAAAUCUUGGAAAGAAGAUAUGUCUAUACAUGUGUUGAAAAUAUCACCUACUCUUUUUAAUACAUUAUUGAAUGAGUUGGAUGUUAAUGCAUUAUUACUACCCGAAUUGUAUCGCUAUACCCAAGACUAUUUUCAACUCAGUUAUAUAUUUUACGAAGAAUAGUAUACAUAUUGGCUAUAAAGAGAGAUACCAAAGUGUCGCCAAUGGCAACACGUCAUGAUAUAUGUUGACUUAAGUUAGCUAGAAGGAAAGGCAAUUUAGAUCAUACGUUCGAUUUACAUGUAUUUGUUUAUUUAUAUUAAUUAACUUUCAAUACGCUUAUUAUACUAAGAUUGUAAGCAACAAUUAAACGACACAUCAGCACACAC
RNAcentral lists this unclassified non-coding RNA (1865 nucleotides) under Ceratitis capitata (Mediterranean fruit fly). RNAcentral's name for it is "uncharacterized LOC101448454, transcript variant X2". The record is from RNAcentral. Lineage: Eukaryota; Metazoa; Arthropoda; Insecta; Diptera; Tephritidae.